GCUGAUGCGUUGUUGGGUAGGGGAGCGUUCUGUAAGCCUGUGAAGGUGGCCUGUGAGGGUUGCUGGAGGUAUCAGAAGUGCGAAUGCUGACAUAAGUAACGAUAAAGCGGGUGAAAAGCCCGCUCGCCGGAAGACCAAGGGUUCCUGUCCAACGUUAAUCGGGGCAGGGUGAGUCGACCCCUAAGGCGAGGCCGAAAGGCGUAGUCGAUGGGAAACGGGUUAAUAUUCCCGUACUUGGUGUUACUGCGAAGGGGGGACGGAGAAGGCUAUGUUGGCCGGGCGACGGUUGUCCCGGUUUAAGCGUGUAGGUGUGUGUUCCAGGUAAAUCCGGUUCACUUUAACACUGAGGCGUGAUGACGAGGCACUACGGUGCUGAAGCAACAAAUGCCCUGCUUCCAGGAAAAGCCUCUAAGCAUCAGGUAACAUCAAAUCGUACCCCAAACCGACACAGGUGGUCAGGUAGAGAAUACCAAGGCGCUUGAGAGAACUCGGGUGAAGGAACUAGGCAAAAUGGUGCCGUAACUUCGGGAGAAGGCACGCUGACACGUAGGUGAAGUGAUUUACUCACGGAGCUGAAGUCAGUCGAAGAUACCAGCUGGCUGCAACUGUUUAUUAAAAACACAGCACUGUGCAAACACGAAAGUGGACGUAUACGGUGUGACGCCUGCCCGGUGCCGGAAGGUUAAUUGAUGGGGUCAGCGCAAGCGAAGCUCCUGAUCGAAGCCCCGGUAAACGGCGGCCGUAACUAUAACGGUCCUAAGGUAGCGAAAUUCCUUGUCGGGUAAGUUCCGACCUGCACGAAUGGCGUAAUGAUGGCCAGGCUGUCUCCACCCGAGACUCAGUGAAAUUGAACUCGCUGUGAAGAUGCAGUGUACCCGCGGCAAGACGGAAAGACCCCGUGAACCUUUACUAUAGCUUGACACUGAACAUUGAGCCUUGAUGUGUAGGAUAGGUGGGAGGCUUUGAAGUGUGGACGCCAGUCUGCAUGGAGCCGACCUUGAAAUACCACCCUUUAAUGUUUGAUGUUCUAACGUGGACCCGUGAUCCGGGUUGCGGACAGUGUCUGGUGGGUAGUUUGACUGGGGCGGUCUCCUCCUAAAGAGUAACGGAGGAGCACGAAGGUUGGCUAAUCCUGGUCGGACAUCAGGAGGUUAGUGCAAUGGCAUAAGCCAGCUUGACUGCGAGCGUGACGGCGCGAGCAGGUGCGAAAGCAGGUCAUAGUGAUCCGGUGGUUCUGAAUGGAAGGGCCAUCGCUCAACGGAUAAAAGGUACUCCGGGGAUAACAGGCUGAUACCGCCCAAGAGUUCAUAUCGACGGCGGUGUUUGGCACCUCGAUGUCGGCUCAUCACAUCCUGGGGCUGAAGUAGGUCCCAAGGGUAUGGCUGUUCGCCAUUUAAAGUGGUACGCGAGCUGGGUUUAGAACGUCGUGAGACAGUUCGGUCCCUAUCUGCCGUGGGCGCUGGAGAACUGAGGGGGGCUGCUCCUAGUACGAGAGGACCGGAGUGGACGCAUCACUGGUGUUCGGGUUGUCAUGCCAAUGGCACUGCCCGGUAGCUAAAUGCGGAAGAGAUAAGUGCUGAAAGCAUCUAAGCACGAAACUUGCCCCGAGAUGAGUUCUCCCUGAGACUUAGAGUCUCCUGAAGGAACGUUGAAGACGACGACGUUGAUAGGCCGGGUGUGUAAGCGCAGCGAUGCGUUGAGCUAACCGGUACUAAUGAACCGUGAGGCUUAACCUUACA
Molecule: ribosomal RNA, 1739 nt
Filed under: Salmonella enterica subsp. enterica serovar Takoradi
Lineage: Bacteria; Pseudomonadati; Pseudomonadota; Gammaproteobacteria; Enterobacterales; Enterobacteriaceae
Description: partial 23S ribosomal RNA
Rfam family: Bacterial large subunit ribosomal RNA
Source: RNAcentral